UACGAAGGGGGCUAGCGUUGCCCGGAAUUACUGGGCGUAAAGCGCACGUAGGCGGCUCUUUAAGUCGGAGGUGAAAUCCUGGAGCUCAACUCCAGAACUGCCCUCGAUACUGAAGAGCUCGAGUCCGGGAGAGGUGAGUGGAACUGCGAGUGUAGAGGUGAAAUUCGUAGAUAUUCGCAAGAACACCAGUGGCGAAGGCGGCUCACUGGCCCGGUACUGACGCUGAGGUGCGAAAGCGUGGGGAGCAAACAGG
Molecule: ribosomal RNA, 253 nt
Filed under: uncultured bacterium
Lineage: Bacteria
Description: partial 16S ribosomal RNA
Rfam family: Bacterial small subunit ribosomal RNA
Source: RNAcentral